Molecule: long non-coding RNA, 1388 nt
Filed under: Homo sapiens (human)
Lineage: Eukaryota; Metazoa; Chordata; Mammalia; Primates; Hominidae
Description: HSALNT0374505
Source: RNAcentral
GACAAAGAACCCACCGGAAGGAACCAAUUCUGGGCACAAUGGGGACGUACCCAGGAGAAUAGGAAACUUACAAAAUUGUUGGAAAUGUGAUUCUAGUGCCCAUUAUGUCACACUCUUGUGUUGUUUCUCUGAGAGUUGCACUAAGAAAGUUCAAAUACCUGUUGGCUUCCAUAGACUAAAUUCGGGCUGAUAACGAGAAAGGUUCCUGACCAAGGGGAGUAAAGGAGAUGGAAUGAAGCUUGUGUGCUGUACUUCAAGUCAUGCAUCCAGUACCAUUUUCCUGCACAUAAAGCGCUAUCUAUUCAUUAAGAUUUCUAGUUGCAGAGCUGGAUCCAUCCAUAAAAAGAACCAUUUUUCUAAUUUAUAGAAAGAUGUCUCAUGGCCUAGAAACAGGCCUUGAGCAAGAGCAAGCCCUGCCUUUCUCAUAUAGAAUAUGUACUGUUUUCUUAUAUAUAGCCUCUUUCUUUAAAUUUGAUAAGAUAAUUAUUAUGAAUCAAUUUUAUUACUUUGUUAAAUAUUAUAUUGUGCUUAAAUUAUAUAAUACGAUUUUUAAAUGAAUAAAUUUUAAAUAUAUUUUAAUAGAUAAAGUAAUAUGAAAGUAUAAAGUAUCAACAAAAGACAAAAUAAUAAGAGAAAAAGUUAAAAACUGAACUAGAACAUUACUAGGAAGUAUUAGGUAUAUGAAUAUAUAAGAAGAAAAGAGUCAAUGUUUACUACAUUAUUGAUAGUCAUGUUUACACGUUUUAAAAAAUCAGAUAAGUACACUGAAAAUAUAUCCACUUUUUACCUCUCAAUUAAAAAAAUUAGAUCUGUUAAAGGGAGUUUUAAAAUGAAUGAAAUGACACAUACAGACAAAUGAUGCAAAGUCUGUAACAUUUCCCGGCAACAGUGAGCAAGAGGUGUCUAGAGAUGAAAUACACUUACUCUCUUCUAUUUCUUCCCAUAUUAUCAAAACUAGGCCCUUGGCACUUGAGAUCCUCAUGUUAGAGGUGCCCAGCAAAGAAGCCUUUAUGCCCUAUCUUUUCUUCUUGUGCAUUUCCAAGUUGCAUCUGUGCAUUUAGAAUGAUGCAAAGUAAUAAAAGCAAAACAUCAAUAGCAGGCAGUAAAACAAAAAUUAGCGCCAAGAAAAUAGAAAGAGAAGAUAGCCACAAGUUAUAGGUUUCCAUUCCUGCCCAUGCCCUCUUGAACACUGGCAUUAAUAUUUGCAGUGUUACAAUAAAGUCGGACAGGCACAGGAUCUCUUUCCGGUUAGCUUACACAACUUUAGCCUCGGUAGAUUUUCAACAUAUUUGGGUAAUACGUUUUAAUUGAUCUCAGAACCAUCUAUGACAGACCCACAGCCAACAUCAUACUGAAUGGGGAAAAGCUGGAAGCAUUCUUCUUGAAAA